This 236-nucleotide ribosomal RNA is filed under the name uncultured Streptococcaceae bacterium. Its description in RNAcentral is "partial 16S ribosomal RNA". It matches the Rfam family "Bacterial small subunit ribosomal RNA", at positions 103 to 334 of the family's 1533-position model. Lineage: Bacteria; Bacillati; Bacillota; Bacilli; Lactobacillales; Streptococcaceae. The record is from RNAcentral.
CGGGUGAGUAACGCGUAGGUAACCUACCUCAUAGCGGGGGAUAACUAUUGGAAACGAUAGCUAAUACCGCAUAAGAGAGACUAACGCAUGUUAGUAAUUUAAAAGGGGCAAUUGCUCCACUAUGAGAUGGACCUGCGUUGUAUUAGCUAGUUGGUGAGGUAAAGGCUCACCAAGGCGACGAUACAUGGCCGACCUGAGAGGGUGAUCGGCCACACUGGAACUGAGACACGGUCCAG